GAAGACCUAGUGGCGAACGGGUGAGUAACACGUGAGGAACCUGCCCCGGAGACCGGGAUAGCCCUCCGAAAGGAGAGCUAAUACCGGAUGUCCUCACCGAAUCGCAUGGCUUGGUGAGGAAAUGGAUUCCGCUCCGGGAGAGCCUCGCGGCCUAUCAGCUAGUUGGUGGGGUAACGGCCCACCAAGGCAUCGACGGGUAGCUGGUCUGAGAGGACGAUCAGCCACACUGGGACUGAGACACGGCCCAGACUCCUACGGGAGGCAGCAGUGGGGAAUCUUGCGCAAUGGGCGAAAGCCUGACGCAGCAACGCCGCGUGCGGGAUGAAGGCCUUCGGGUUGUAAACCGCUUUCAGUGGGGACGAACCAAGACGGUACCCAGAGAAGAAGCCCCGGCCAA
RNAcentral lists this ribosomal RNA (397 nucleotides) under grassland soil clone sl1_202. RNAcentral's name for it is "bacterial SSU rRNA". It matches the Rfam family "Bacterial small subunit ribosomal RNA", at positions 86 to 500 of the family's 1533-position model. The record is from RNAcentral.